Xyrauchen texanus (razorback sucker) is the source of this 78-nucleotide small nucleolar RNA. RefSeq annotates it as small nucleolar RNA SNORD72. The transcript has a single exon. Lineage: Eukaryota; Metazoa; Chordata; Actinopteri; Cypriniformes; Catostomidae. The record is from RefSeq and is a predicted model, not a curated record.
AGCUUACCAGUGAUGUCCAAAUAUAAAUGUCUGAACAAAUGACUGUCCAGUGAUAUUAGUUUUACUCUGAGGUAAGCC